CCUACGGGAGGCAGCAGUGAGGAAUAUUGGUCAAUGGGCGCGAGCCUGAACCAGCCAAGUCGCGUGAGGGAGGACGGCCCUACGGGUUGUAAACCUCUUUUGCCGGGGAGCAACGGGCGCCACGUGUGGCGUCACUGAGAGUACCCGGAGAAAAAGCAUCGGCUAACUCCGUGCCAGCAGCCGCGGUAAUACGGAGGAUGCGAGCUUUAUCGGGAUUUAUUGGGUUUAAAGGGUGCGAAGGCGGAUCGUUAGUCCAGUGGUCAAAUUGAGGGGUCCAACCCCUUCCCGCCAUUGAAACUGGCUCUCUUGAGUGGAAGAGAAGUAGGCGGAAUGCGUGGUGUAGCGGUGAAAUGCAUAGAUAUCACGCAGAACCCCGAUUGCGAAGGCAGCAUGCCGGCUUCCGACUGACGCUGAAGCACGAAAGCGUGGGGAUCGAACAGGAUUAGAUACCCCGGUAGUC
Molecule: ribosomal RNA, 460 nt
Filed under: uncultured bacterium
Lineage: Bacteria
Description: partial 16S ribosomal RNA
Rfam family: Bacterial small subunit ribosomal RNA
Source: RNAcentral